This 253-nucleotide ribosomal RNA is filed under the name uncultured bacterium. RNAcentral's name for it is "partial 16S ribosomal RNA". It matches the Rfam family "Bacterial small subunit ribosomal RNA", at positions 524 to 776 of the family's 1533-position model. The record is from RNAcentral.
UACAGAGGGUGCGAGCGUUGUCCGGAAUUACUGGGCGUAAAGGGCUCGUAGGCGGCCAACUAAGUCAGACGUGAAAUCCCUCAGCUUAACUGGGGAACUGCGUCUGAUACUGGAUGGCUUGGAUUUGGGAGAGGGAUGCGGAAUUCCAGGUGUAGCGGUGAAAUGCGUAGAUAUCUGGAGGAACACCGGUGGCGAAGGCGGCAUCCUGGACCAAUAUUGACGCUGAGGAGCGAAAGCCAGGGGAGCAAACGGG